This 253-nucleotide ribosomal RNA is filed under the name uncultured bacterium. Its description in RNAcentral is "partial 16S ribosomal RNA". It matches the Rfam family "Bacterial small subunit ribosomal RNA", at positions 524 to 776 of the family's 1533-position model. The record is from RNAcentral.
UACGUAGGGUACAAGCGUUAAUCGGAAUUACUGGGCGUAAAGCGUGCGCAGGCGGUUCCGCAAGUCAGAUGUGAAAUCCCCGGGCUCAACCUGGGAACUGCAUUUGUGACUGCAUGGCUGGAGUGCGGCAGAGGGGGAUGGAAUUCCGCGUGUAGCAGUGAAAUGCGUAGAUAUGCGGAGGAACACCGAUGGCGAAGGCAAUCCCCUGGGCCUGCACUGACGCUCAUGCACGAAAGCGUGGGGAGCAAACAGG